GUCAUAAGGUGGUGGCUUUUGAGUCAUAGGU
RNAcentral lists this non-coding RNA (31 nucleotides) under Mus musculus (house mouse). Lineage: Eukaryota; Metazoa; Chordata; Mammalia; Rodentia; Muridae. The record is from RNAcentral.